RNAcentral lists this ribosomal RNA (561 nucleotides) under Aspergillus niger. RNAcentral describes it as "eukaryotic LSU rRNA". The stretch from base 189 to 342 matches the Rfam family "5.8S ribosomal RNA". The record is from RNAcentral. Lineage: Eukaryota; Fungi; Ascomycota; Eurotiomycetes; Eurotiales; Aspergillaceae.
GGCAUCGGAGUGCGGGUCUUUGGGCCACCUCCCAUCCGUGUCUAUUGUACCCUGUUGCUUCGGCGGGCCCGCCGCUUGUCGGCCGCCGGGGGGGCGCCUCUGCCCCCCGGGCCCGUGCCCGCCGGAGACCCCAACACGAACACUGUCUGAAAGCGUGCAGUCUGAGUUGAUUGAAUGCAAUCAGUUAAAACUUUCAACAAUGGAUCUCUUGGUUCCGGCAUCGAUGAAAAACGCAGCGAAAUGCGAUAACUAAUGUGAAUUGCAGAAUUCAGUGAAUCAUCGAGUCUUUGAACGCACAUUGCGCCCCCUGGUAUUCCGGGGGGCAUGCCUGUCCGAGCGUCAUUGCUGCCCUCAAGCCCGGCUUGUGUGUUGGGUCGCCGUCCCCCUCUCCGGGGGGACGGGCCCGAAAGGCAGCGGCGGCACCGCGUCCGAUCCUCGAGCGUAUGGGGCUUUGUCACAUGCUCUGUAGGAUUGGCCGGCGCCUGCCGACGUUUUCCAACCAUUCUUUCCAGGUUGACCUCGGAUCAGGUAGGGAUACCCGCUGAACUUAAGCAUAUAAAA